RNAcentral lists this ribosomal RNA (425 nucleotides) under uncultured prokaryote. Its description in RNAcentral is "bacterial SSU rRNA". It matches the Rfam family "Bacterial small subunit ribosomal RNA", at positions 355 to 796 of the family's 1533-position model. The record is from RNAcentral.
UCGAGAAUCUUCCGCAAUGGACGAAAGUCUGACGGAGCGAUGCCGCGUGCGGGAUGAAGGCCCUCGGGUUGUAAACCGCUGUCAGUGGGGAGGAAAUUUUGACCGAACCGCAGAGGAAGUCCGGGCUAAGUACGUGCCAGCAGCCGCGGUAACACGUACCGGACGAACGUUAUUCGGAAUCACUGGGCUUAAAGAGUGCGUAGGCGGCUUUGUAGGUGAGGUGUGAAAUCCCACGGCCUAACCGUGGAACUGCGCUUCAAACCACAAGGCUUGAGGGAGACAGGGGUGAGCGGAACUGAUGGUGGAGCGGUGAAAUGCGUUGAUAUCAUCAGGAACACCGGUGGCGAAGGCGGCUCACUGGGUCUUUUCUGACGCUGAGGCACGAAAGCUAGGGUAGCGAACGGGAUUAGAUACCCCCGUAGUCC